GAGAAGGUGGAUAUGUUAAUAGCAUAUUCAUUUUGACGUUUAGCUGCAGAAGAAGCACCGGCUAACUCCGUGCCAGCAGCCGCGGUAAUACGGAGGGUGCGAGCGUUAAUCGGAAUUACUGGGCGUAAAGCGCAUGCAGUGGUUUGUUAAGUCAGAUGUGAAAGCCCGGGGCUCAACCUCGGAAUUGCAUUUGAAACUGGCAAACUAGAGUACUGUAGAGGGGGUAGAAUUUCAGGUGUAGCGGUGAAAUGCGUAGAGAUCUGAAGGAAUACCGGUGGCGAAGGCGGCCCCCUGGACAGAUACUGACACUCAGAUGCGAAAGCGUGGGGAGCAAACAGGAUUACCUACCCUGGUAG
This 356-nucleotide ribosomal RNA is filed under the name uncultured bacterium. RNAcentral's name for it is "bacterial SSU rRNA". It matches the Rfam family "Bacterial small subunit ribosomal RNA", at positions 442 to 793 of the family's 1533-position model. The record is from RNAcentral.